Molecule: long non-coding RNA, 233 nt
Filed under: Gossypium barbadense (sea-island cotton)
Lineage: Eukaryota; Viridiplantae; Streptophyta; Magnoliopsida; Malvales; Malvaceae
Description: long non-coding RNA (GBAR_LNC013973)
Source: RNAcentral
AAACUUUGAGCCCUUUUUUUCUCUCUAAAAAACUCUCCAUGUCCGGCCACUAAGCCGUCGGCGCUCCGCUGUGGCCACCAACCAUCGGCAACGGCGACUGUCACCUCCAGUGGCCGGAGUUGUAAAAAGUUGUACUUUUUUAGCCUAUUUGAUUCCCAAAACCUAGAUCUAAAGGCGGUGCCUUCUAUUUAAAAAAACCAAAAAAAGAAACAACUUUCGGCCGCUCUUUUGAA